GCCUACGGGGCGCAGCAGUGGGGAAUAUUGCACAAUGGGGGAAACCCUGAUGCAGCGACGCCGCGUGAGUGAUGAAGUAUUUCGGUAUGUAAAGCUCUAUCAGCAGGGAAGAUAAUGACGGUACCUGACUAAGAAGCUCCGGCUAAAUACGUGCCAGCAGCCGCGGUAAUACGUAUGGAGCAAGCGUUAUCCGGAUUUACUGGGUGUAAAGGGAGCGUAGACGGCAGCGCAAGUCUGGAGUGAAAUCCCAUGGCUUAACCAUGGAACUGCUUUGGAAACUGUGCAGCUAGAGUGCAGGAGAGGUA
This 305-nucleotide ribosomal RNA is filed under the name uncultured bacterium. RNAcentral describes it as "bacterial SSU rRNA". It matches the Rfam family "Bacterial small subunit ribosomal RNA", at positions 337 to 659 of the family's 1533-position model. The record is from RNAcentral.